Regulatory RNA element from Pseudomonas fluorescens, 103 nucleotides. Lineage: Bacteria; Pseudomonadati; Pseudomonadota; Gammaproteobacteria; Pseudomonadales; Pseudomonadaceae. The record is from Rfam.
GAACGCAGGCUUGAAUGCGUGGGUAACCCGGCAGGACGCCGGGUUAGCCGCCCCGCGCCAUGGAUGGCGCGUGGCGGCGGCCCACGGAUUCAAGCCGGAGUGA